Molecule: ribosomal RNA, 440 nt
Filed under: Dendronotus primorjensis
Lineage: Eukaryota; Metazoa; Mollusca; Gastropoda; Nudibranchia; Dendronotidae
Description: partial 16S ribosomal RNA
Rfam family: Archaeal large subunit ribosomal RNA
Source: RNAcentral
ACAUAGCCACAAGUUAACAUUUGUGGUCUAACCUGCCCAAUGUGCAAUUAGAAAGAUGAAUGGCCGCGGUACCCUGACCGUGCUAAGGUAGCGUAAUCAGUUGGCUUUUAAAUGGAGUCAGGAAUGAAUGGAAUAACCGGGUUUAGCUGUCUCCUUUCUAAUCAGUUGAAUUUACUGUUCAAGUGAAAAAGCUUGAAUAAAGAAAAGGGACGAGAAGACCCUUAGAAUUUUUUUUAGUGGGAAAUUUUUUUCUAAUGAUUUUGUUGGGGCGACAUGGAAAUAUGUAAAAACUUUCCUUUGAUACUUGCCGAUUUUGUUAAGUUAGGAUAAAUUACCUGAGGGAUAACAGCAUAAUUCUACAGAUGAGUUUGUGACCUCGAUGUUGGACUAGGGAACUAGCAAGCUAGCCGUUUGUUGUGUGGGUUCUGUUCGAACUUUAA